GAGGUAUUUAACCUGGACUCGCGGCGACAGUCGACGUGGGAUUAUUACUCCGAACUGGAUAGCCGAGCGGAGAAGCGAGUUGGGGAGCACACGCACUAAGGGAGCUACAGCACGGGACGCACUGGGAGCAGGAGACGAGCACCAUUGGAAUAUUGCACCUUUGAGUUUAUUGUUGGACUUACCUGUCUGGUCACUGUAAAUAAAGUGCACUGUGGCAUCGAA
Oreochromis aureus is the source of this 222-nucleotide long non-coding RNA. RefSeq lists it as uncharacterized. The record is from RefSeq and is a predicted model, not a curated record. Lineage: Eukaryota; Metazoa; Chordata; Actinopteri; Cichliformes; Cichlidae. The transcript has 2 exons.